CCUACGGGAGGCAGCAGUGGGGAAUUUUGGACAAUGGGGGCAACCCUGAUCCAGCCAUGCCGCGUGAGUGAAGAAGGCCUUCGGGUUGUAAAGCUCUUUCGGCCGGGAAGAAAUCGCAUGGGUUAAUACCCUGUGUGGAUGACGGUACCGGCAUAAGAAGCACCGGCUAACUACGUGCCAGCAGCCGCGGUAAUACGUAGGGUGCGAGCGUUAAUCGGAAUUACUGGGCGUAAAGCGUGCGCAGGCGGUUUGGUAAGACAGGCGUGAAAUCCCCGGGCUCAACCUGGGAACUGCGCUUGUGACUGCCUCACUAGAGUACGGCAGAGGGGGGUGGAAUUCCACGUGUAGCAGUGAAAUGCGUAGAGAUGUGGAGGAACACCGAUGGCGAAGGCAGCCCCCUGGGCCGAUACUGACGCUCAUGCACGAAAGCGUGGGUAGCAAACAGGAUUAGAUACCCUGGUAGUCCACGCCCUAAACGAUGUCAACUAGGUGUUGGGUGGGUAAAACCAUUUAGUACCGGAGCUAACGCGUGAAGUUGACCGCCUGGGGAGUACGGCCGCAAGGUUAAAACUCAAAUGAAUUGACGG
Molecule: ribosomal RNA, 587 nt
Filed under: uncultured bacterium
Lineage: Bacteria
Description: bacterial SSU rRNA
Rfam family: Bacterial small subunit ribosomal RNA
Source: RNAcentral